UGGGGAAUAUUGCGCAAUGGGCGGAAGCCUGACGCAGCAACGCCGCGUGCGGGAUGACGGCCUUCGGGUUGUAAACCGCUUUCAGUAGGGACGAAGCUUUUGUGACGGUACCUACAGAAGAAGCACCGGCCAACUACGUGCCAGCAGCCGCGGUGAUACGUAGGGUGCGAGCGUUGUCCGGAAUUAUUGGGCGUAAAGAGCUUGUAGGCGGUUAGUCGCGUCGGAAGUGAAAACUCGGGCCUUAAUCCCGAGCUUGCUUCCGAUACGGGCUGACUAGAGGAAGGUAGGGGAGAAUGGAAUUCCUGGUGGAGCGGUGGAAUGCGCAGAUAUCAGGAGGAACACCAGUGGCGAAGGCGGUUCUCUGGACCUUUCCUGACGCUGAGAAGCGAAAGCGUGGGGAGCAAACAGG
This 409-nucleotide ribosomal RNA is filed under the name uncultured prokaryote. RNAcentral describes it as "bacterial SSU rRNA". It matches the Rfam family "Bacterial small subunit ribosomal RNA", at positions 355 to 776 of the family's 1533-position model. RNAcentral also lists the same sequence under 1 other name. The record is from RNAcentral.